Molecule: transfer RNA, 82 nt
Organism: Vibrio nereis
Lineage: Bacteria; Pseudomonadati; Pseudomonadota; Gammaproteobacteria; Vibrionales; Vibrionaceae
Rfam family: tRNA
About the family: Transfer RNA (tRNA) molecules are approximately 80 nucleotides in length. Their secondary structure includes four short double-helical elements and three loops (D, anti-codon, and T loops). Further hydrogen bonds mediate the characteristic L-shaped molecular structure. tRNAs have two regions of fundamental functional importance: the anti-codon, which is responsible for specific mRNA codon recognition, and the 3' end, to which the tRNAs corresponding amino acid is attached (by aminoacyl-tRNA synthetases). tRNAs cope with the degeneracy of the genetic code in two manners: having more than one tRNA (with a specific anti-codon) for a particular amino acid; and 'wobble' base-pairing, i.e. permitting non-standard base-pairing at the 3rd anti-codon position.
Source: Rfam
GCGGAAGUGGCGGAAUUGGUAGACGCACCAGAUUUAGGUUCUGGCGCCGCAAGGUGUGAGAGUUCAAGUCUCUCCUUCCGCA